Ovis aries (sheep) is the source of this 57-nucleotide transfer RNA. It matches the Rfam family "tRNA", at positions 8 to 63 of the family's 71-position model. From Rfam's summary of the family: Transfer RNA (tRNA) molecules are approximately 80 nucleotides in length. NCBI's taxonomy places the organism in Eukaryota, Metazoa, Chordata, Mammalia, Artiodactyla, Bovidae. The record is from Rfam.
UGGCUCAAACGGUAUAGAAUCUGCCUGCAAUGCAGGAGACCUGGGUUCGAUCCCCAG